Molecule: long non-coding RNA, 38270 nt
Organism: Homo sapiens (human)
Lineage: Eukaryota; Metazoa; Chordata; Mammalia; Primates; Hominidae
Exons: 2
Source: RefSeq, a predicted model, not a curated record
CACAGACACACCCAGGAUCAAUACUUUGCAUCCUUCCAUCCAAUCAAGUUGACACUCAGUAUUAACCAUCACAAGGUCAGAACUCCUAAGCAGCCCUGGCCACAGCCCUCGAGGAGGUGCUGUCUGUAAGUGUUGCUGAUGUCCACUCUAGAAAUGUUAAGUGGCAUUCAGAGCAUUGCAGAUGCCAUGUGAGGGUGACAGAUGAUAUGCAGGGAAGAGCAUAGCAGAGCCAAGGUUUUAAGGCAUGGGGCUUCCUGGGGCAGGUGAUGAGUGCCAGACCUUGACUGUCCUUUUCCAGUUCUUCUGAGAGCAUGUCCUGAAGAGAGGAUGGGAUGGGGGCUAGCUAGCUGGGUAUGUGGGCAGGGGUGCCAGCCGACCUCUCCUUACUCUUGGGAAAUUUGCCCCUGUUAGCAUCUGCUGUGUUCACUAUCUUGAGGUGGACACCAAUCCUUGGAGAACAAACCCUCUGGCCCCAUUCCACCUCCCAGCAUCCCAGGUUCUACUGAAUGUGUGCGCUUGGGUCACGAACCCUCUCAGCUGCUUCUGACUCUGUGGGCUAGGACCAUGGCAGGCCCUGGAGGCAAAAGGCCUUCUUCUUGGAUCUCUCUGUAUGGCUCCCAAAGGUGGAACGAGCCCAGAAAAUACUUUCUAAGCACUGGUAGGGAUCAUAUUGGGGGUGGAGACAUGGGGAGGUAUCUCCCUACUUUCUGCCCUGCCCCCACCAGAGAACACAAAGUGGGUAAGAAGGGGAAGGAUGGAAUCUGCCUAGCACUUCUGUGAGCCAUUUGGCAGGGGUAGGGGUGGGGAGAUCCUUUGUCAUCACCACCUCUGGGAACCCCCAGCUGCUCUCUUUCCACACACACCUCUCCCCGGGGCCUUAGCUGCGGGUGCAGAAGAGUGCAUGGCAUUGCCAAUUGGAAUUCUAAGGAGGUUAACACGGCCUCCCAGCAUUGUCACUGACUAACUUGGUGACGUUGGGCAGCUCACCUAACUGGACUGUACCUCCAUUUUCUCAUCUGUAAAAUGGGGGUAAUAAUAACAUCAUCCUCAGAAUUGCCUUGAGAGUCUCAUGAGCUGAUGUAUGGUAAAGCCCUUAGCACAGUGCCCGGCACACAGUGAUCACUCAGGGCCUGUUGGCAUGCAGCCUGCCCCGGAGAGAGCCUAGCAAUGCAUCAUCAUCUUCCUCCACGGGAGUGAAAGCUGGGAGGUCAGGACCAGGAGUCUCAGCUGCUCCUGGCUGAGGAGUUAGUAGACUCUGGCUCUUGAUUUUCAUUUGCUGUGAGACCCUAGGCAAGUGCCUUUCCCUCUCUGGGUUCUGAUUGUUUGGUUUCCCUUCCCAUCUGUAAGUCCGGAGUGGGGCAGAGGUGGAAGGAUGAUCCAUACAGGAUGUGGGGUUUUUGUCUGGUUCUAUCUGAAGAGGCUCCAGCAGUCAGAAAGAAACAGAGGUAGCCGAGGUCCAGAACCACUUGUGUUUACAGAGGCCCCUCUGGAAAGUCAGUAUAUUGACUGGAAUGCCCUUGCACGCAUUAUGCAGCCCUGGGUGUCUCUCUCACCGAAGCCAUAAAUCACCCUCUGGGAACUCGGUCCCUUUUUCCUGCUCCAUAAGCAUUUCCUGCUUCAGAAACUGAGAACCCCAGAUGCCAAGCAGGGCCCAGGAGGUAGAGAAGGGCCCCACUGGCAGAGGCAGCCUGGGCAUGUGCGAGAAGGGGCCUGUGGUCCCCCCCCUUGUCACCCACUCCGAAGCUCAAGUGCGCCCUGCUGAGGGUGUUAGAGACAGACUUUGCAGGCCUGGCCCCCGUGUCAUGCAUAGCUUCAUUUCUCAGAGGCAGGGGGAGGCCAAUCUUGGGGGUUGGGGAAUGAGGACUCCUGUCUCCAUGUAGGGUAUCAGAACACCAGCCCACCCUAAAACCUGAUGCACAUGCCCAUUCAUUCAGCCUGAGCAAGUGCUGAGCUCCGCAGUCAGAAGCUUAAAAACCAUGGGCCUGACUCUUGAAGAACUGAUGGGCUUUGUGCUGCUUCUUGAAGCAUGGGCCAAGUGCCUGGCCUGUGAUGCUGGGGUGCAAGGGGGAUUAGGAUGAUGCAACAGAUAUGAAUCAUUCAAGCAUGAGCCAAGAUGUGUGUGUCUUGGGAGGGGUCUUGCGCGAUGUUUAGAGGGCAGGCUGUGCAGUCACAUUACUUGGGUUCAAAUCCUGGCAGUGCCACCAUCUGGCUGUGUGUCUUAGAGCAAGUUGCUUACCCUCUCUGAGCUUAGUUCUGAGCUUAGUUCCUUCAUUUGUAAAAUGGGAGUAGUAACAGCACCAAUCUCAUUAGAUUUGGGGAUAAAUGAGAUCAUGCUUAAAAGUGUGUUGCAUAUUCUGAAGUGCUCAGUGACAUUCACUACUGUCAUCAUCAUCAUCAUCAUCAUCAUCAUCAUAUGGGCACCAUGUAUUGCGUGGAACGAAGGGAAAUGUCUGGAUGUUGAGAGGAAGAAGCUCUUGUGGUCUGGGCAGUCAGAAAAGGCUUCCUGGAAGAGGGAAGGUUUGCACUUGACUGGCCCUUGAAAGAUGAGAGACUUUGGGUAAAUGGAGAGUGUGGCCCUGGUAGGGGAUGUGUACGUGAAGGUAUGGGUGUGAAUGUCUGGCACAUCUACCCAGGAGACAAAUUCUACAUUCAGCUUCUGACUCGUGUCUGAUCAUCUAGCAACUCAAGACUUCUAGGGCCAGAGGUCUCUUAGUGGAAAGAGCCCCAGCCUUUAGGAUUUGAAUCUUCCAGAGGUGGCUCACUCUCUGUGCCUCAGCUUCCCAAUUCAUGAGAUAGGCAUGAUUCCACCACCUUCACCAGGUGCUGAUGUGACGUGAACACACACAUAUACAGUCUUGGCAGAGUGGGUGCUCUGUGGAUUUCCAUUGCCUUCCCUUCUCUUCCUGCCCCUCCUCCACCCCCCGAUUUGGCUGACCUCUGGAUAGGGCUAGGGCUGGGCCUGGGCCCUGAUUCUCUCCCUGUGCAUCUCUGGGCAGAACAGUGGGACAGAGAGUCCCAAAGUGGCAGUUUCCAGGUUGGCCAGAGAGCCAAGGAGAGGGGCAGGAAGAGAGAGGCUGCUUUUUCUGGUCCCUGGUGUUCACCUGGGCCUGCCCUGACCCAGGAGGCAUCCCCAGGGAGUCUUCUGCUGAGAUCACCCAGGAGCCUGCAACCCCCAGAGGCCCCAAGCGGCAUCUGGAGGCAUUACUGCCUUCAGGAGACAAAGCCCAAAGGAAAGCAGCUCUGUAAUGCGAUCAGAGGCGUCCGCCUGCCUGGCUGGGGACCUGGACACCCAUGCAGGAUGCAGAGCUUACAAGAAAUUGAGUCAGGAAUUCCAGGAAAGUUGUCCCUGACCCCCUCCCCCAUCCCUAUCCCACCUUUGGUCAUUCUGUGACACAGCAGAGCAGAGUGACAUUCGGAGUGAGCAGUGACCUGUGGUGGGAUGGGAGUCUGUCGGAUGGGGCAGCCUGCGUUCUUUCCUUUUCCUUGUCACCAAGCCAGGGCUCCAGGGUUGGGGAGACAGGUUCAGCAGGGGCAGCCAGCAUGGAUUGAAACGACUAGGUGAUGGCAGAGCAGCCAUGGCACUAGGUGACUAGGGAGGCUGGGCCUGAUUUGGCUCACUCGUGUGGAUUCCUGGCACCCAGAAGGUACUGAAUAAAUCUCUGUAGAAUGGAUGAAUGAGAACUCAUGGUCAGGCCUUACUCACCCGAGAAGUAGCUGUGAUUUUGUCCCAGCUGUGCGUGGACCUGCUGCUGUGGAUGAGUAACCAAAGAAUUAGAAGAUUUUUUCAUUCCUUUGCUUCCAGCCUUCCCCUCCUGCCUGCCUGCUUCCCUCCCUUCAUUAUCUGCUGCUUGCUUUCUUUGAGCACUUACUGUGUACCCAACAUGGUGGAAGCCAGAGCCAAAUCUUCAGUGAUCAGAGCCCCUAGGUAGGAAGGAAUUUAUUCACUAAAUCCAGCGGAGCCACAGAGAAUUAACCAAGUUUUGCAGUCAAGUGCCCUGGGCCCCUUUACAUAGAGAAAGUAGACUGGCAGACACUUGCUGGGCUGGUAAAUUUUGUACUUAUCUGCAAGGUGGCCCUUGUAAGGCACAGCUGGUCCAGGCGACUUUAAAAUGUUUCUUUCCUACUUGUAGCCACAAGCCCAUUAUCACUUCUCCCCACCUUGCCUUCUUGUGGCUCAAGAGAAUGCUUACCGCAUGGACAACUGGCCGUGAGGCCUGAGAGCAAGUGUGGGCUGAGCAGGUGUAUCUAAAGGCCAUGGCCAGAUCUGACUCCAGGCCUCAGCCCUCUAUAGCAACUGCUACCAGCUUCUUAGCAGGAGCUGGGCUUGGUGCAGGAGAGCAGUUCUGGCCAUGGGGUCUGGCUGAUAUAGACUCUGGGUGGCAUCAUGUCCAGUACUGACAUCUUUGGGAGAUUAAACAUCCCCAGGCAGCAACAAGCCUGGCCCAGUGACCAUCCUCAGCUGGUGGCUCACUGGUCCUUGUCAGGAGUCCCUGCCAGAGGCUGAUCUGGAAUUCCUCCCUGGCAGCCCAGGAAAGCCGGGGCUGCUGGGCACAGUGACCCCUGCUGCAAAUUUGAUCCAGCCCCACAUUUUCCUCCUGGUCCAUCCCACUUCUGUAUGUAGACACAGACACAGACACACACACACAGACACACACACACACACCAGGAAAGCCGGGGCUGCUGGGCACAGUGACCCCUGCUGCAAAUUUGAUCCAGCCCCACAUUUUCCUCCUGGUCCAUCCCACUUCUGUAUGUAGACACACACACACACACACACACACACACACACACACACACACACACACACACGAAAUGACAGCAGAAAAAGCCCCAAGUUGAGGAUUGGGAAAACUGGAUUCUUUUUUUUCUUUUUUUGGAAAUAAAAAACUGGAUUCUAAUCCUAGCCAUGUAGCUAAUCUGCUUUGUGACAUUGGGCCAGUCCUUUUCCCUCUCUGAGCUUCCUCUGUCCAAAUGAAGAGGUUCUGCCCUGGAAUCAGAAAACCUGGAUUCAAGUCCUGGCCCCAUCACUAACUGCAAUUUCAUGAGCCUCCAUCUCCUCACUAUAAACUGGGCCCCCAAUUGGUUGUGGGGACAUUAAAGGAAAUGGGCAUGGUCAGUGAAGGUCGGUUUUCUUUCCUUUCCACCCAGAAGGAAAUCCACAAAUUGCUGGAUCCUGCCUUCUAGUGGGAUUUUGGAUUGCUGGAUCCCAAAUCCACAGAGCCCGCCUUCUUUCUUUCUGAUAUUGCCUUCUUGACAUGGGCAUAUUAGACAUAAGGUACAGUAGGGUUAUCCUACAGACUUCUGAGAUACCUUCCAGCCUUCAAAGCCCAUCGCUGUAAAGCACCGUGGAUACAGUUCAGGAAGUCCUGUGGGGUGACUUGGUAAUCGUCUGAGGGUUAUCAGCGAGGGGAGAGCCUGCCUUGUUAUACACAUUUGGGAGAGCCUGCCUUGUUAGACACAUUUGGAAAGAGCACUGGACUAGGAGUCUGGAAUCUCCAGCUCUAAGGCCAAAUCUGUCUCUGUGUGAUACGCAAAUCUCACCCACCUUCUUUGAGCCUCAGUUUACCCAUCAGCAAAAGGAACAAAAGAAGUUGAAUGCCAGGUAGGGCCAAGUGAGAAAACACCCAGAGAGGUGCUUCAGAAACUGUUCUCCAAACCCACGGGGGUCGCUGAUCUGAGGCAGCAGGAGGCCUGCAGAACAGUCCCUGGACUAUGCGGUGCAUCCUGGGAACUGCUGCCUGUGUGGCAGGGAUGAGAGGGCCCACGUGCCCAUUUCCCUGGCACCUCCCAUGCCUGGCUGGCCACAGCUGUUGAGCUAAGUGACAAGAGUUUUAGCCACUUCUCAUCCAUCUUUGUGCCCCCAUACCCUGACCCCAUUGCACACCCCACAUCCCAGAGCGGAGGAGGCCCGGGUGCCACGUCAGAGAAGGUUAGUGUCAGUGCUGGGUUUGAUACUGUCUGAGCCAGCACACCAUCUGCCAUGCCCACCAGAAGUUACAUAAUCCCUCGGCCGGCUGCCCAUUCUUAGAAAACGGGGCAGGCAGGACCAGCAGGGAGUAGAGAGUUAGAGUUUUCUUCUCUGCAUUUUGUUCCCUCCCAGCCCACCACAUCCCUGGACCAGUCUUCACUCUCUGAGUUGCUCCCACACUGUUCAGAGCCUGAGACGUAAGUGCCAAGGCAGAGAGAAGCUCAAGUUGGAAGGGGACAUGGGUCUUGAGGACUGCUUGCCACCGUGCCACACAGACUUGAGGACACCCUGCAGACACUACCUGCUGGCAGCACACCUGGCUGGCCACACCUUGCCAGCCCCUCACACGGCUCCUCUGCUGAGCCUGUGGUGGGUUGAGGAGGACCACUCAAGCUUCUAGGACAAAUAGAGUCUCCUCCUCCCCACCCCCUAGUUCCUACAGAGAUAUUAUCUUUCCAAAAUCUUAUCAGAUCAUAAGCGUUUUUAUUUAUUUUUAUUUAUUUUAUUUUUUAUUUUUGAGACUGAGUCUUGCUCUAUCACCCAGGCUGGAGUGCAGUGGCACCAUCUCGGCUCACUGCAAUCUCUGCCUCCCAGGUUCAAGUGAUUCUCAUGCCUCAGCCUCUCAAGUAGCUGGGAUUACAGGCGCCCGCCACCACACUCGGCUAAUUUUUGUAUUUUUAGUAGAGAUGGGGUUUCACCAAGUUGGCCAGGCUGGUCUCAAACUCCUGACCUCAAGUGAUCCGCUUGCCUCGGCCUCCCAAAGUGCUGGGAUUACGGGCAUGAGCCACCUCGCCCAGCCCAUAAGCAUUUUUAAUAACUGAAUAACAGCCAGAUAACACCACCCAUGUAUCAUUAGGGUCUUUGGAAUCACUGAGACCCAAGAUCCCAUCCUGUCUCCUUCAUUUGCUGGCUGCAUGAUGUUUGCCAGGCAACUUCACUCUUGUUAGUCCCGGUUUCCUCAUCAGUGAAGUGGGAAUCAUGAAGCCUGCUUCCCAGAGCUGCCUUAAGGAUGGAAUCAGAUAAUACUUGGAGAGGAUGGAGAAAGUAUUUAGUGAUGGUAGCUCUGAUCAGCAGCAUCCAAUUCCAUUCUCUCUUUUUAACAUCAUGACCAGAUCUGAUUUAUUGCAGGAAUGCAAGAGUGGUUCCAAAUGAAUUCGCUAAUAUUAAUAACAUGCCAUAUUAAUAUCAUGUUCCAUAUUAAUGAAUCUGAGGAAACAAAAUCAUAUUAUUAUCUUCAUAGAUGCUGAACAAAGCUUGGAUAAAAUACUACACUAAAAGAAAUAGGAAUUAAGGGAUACUUUUCAGAUGAGAUAGAUAGAUAUAUAUACCAUGGAAUACUACUCAGUCAUAAAAAGGAAUGAAAUAAUGGCAUUCACAGCAACCUGGAUGGAGUUGGAGACCAUUCUUCUUUUUUUUUUUUUUUCCUUGAAACGGAGUCUUGCUCUGUUGCCCAGGCUGGAGUUCAAUGGCACAAAAUUGGCUCACUACAACCUCCGCCUCCUGGGUUCAAGCAAUUCUCCUGCCUCAGCCUCCCGAGUAGCUGGAAUUAGAGGUGUGUGCCACCAUGCCCAGCUAAUUUUUGUAUUUUUAGUAGAGACGGGGUUUCACCAUGUUGGCCAGGCUGGUCUCGAACUCCUGACCUCAGGUGAUCUGCCCGCCUCAGCCUCUCAAAGUGCUGGGAUUACAGGUGUGAGCCAUCGCACCCAGCCAGAGACCAUUAUUCUAAGUGAAGUAACUCAGGAAUGGAAAACUAAAAAUCAUAUGUUCUCACUUGUAAGUGGGAGCUAAGCUAUGAGGAUGCAAAAGCAUAAGAAUGAUAUAAUGGACUUUAGGGAGAUGGGGGAAAUGUGGGAGGGGGUGAGGGAUAAAAGACUACACAUUGGGUACAGUGUGCAUUGCUUAUGUGAUGGGUUCAUCAAAAUCUCAGAAAUCACCACUAAAUAACUUAUUAUCCAUGUAACCAAAUACCACCUGUUCCCAAAAACUAUUGAAACAAAAUAAAAAUAAAAAUAAAUUUUGUAUACAUACAUAUAUACAUAUAUAUACAUAUAUACAUAUAUAUACACAUAUACAUAUAUAUACAUAUAUAUACACAUAUAUACAUAUAUAUACACAUAUAUAUACACACAUAUACACACACACACACACACACACACACACACACACACACAUACAUACCCUAGUCCUAAAGCUGGUAUCUUAUUUAAUGGGGAAACACUAAAGGUACUUUCAGUAAGAUCAGUAAUAGAUACCCUGCUGGUAUUCACCUCUGCUAGUAUUCACCGCUAGAGGUAUUAGCAAAUGUGAUUAAAUGAGAGAAGUCAAUUAGAAGCAUUAGAAAGGGGUAAAGAAGAAGUAAAACUAUUCCUGCCAGAUAGUAAAACAUACUGGAAAGCCUCUGUAAUUAAAACAGUGUGCUUACUGGUGUGUGAAUUGGCAAAUAGACCAAAGAUAAUAGUAAGUUCAGAAUUAGACCCAAAUGUCUACGGAAAUACAGUACAUAACAAAGGUGGUAUCACAGGUCACUGGGGUUAAGACAGACUUUUUAAUAAAUGGUGCUCGGACUACUGGGUAGCUAUGUGGGAAAAGGUGAAAUUUGAUUCAAGUCUCACACCAUACAGAGAGAUGAACUCCAAGUGGAUUUGGGAUCUAGAUGUAAACAAUGAUACAACUACUAAAUGAAAACAUGGGUAAAUUCCUUUUUAAACUUGUGGGUGGGAAAGGCUUUCUAACUAUGACUUAAGAUCUAGAGGCAAUAAAAUAAAAAAACUGAUCAGUUUUAUUACAUGAACAUUUUUAAAUUUUCGACAAAAAAAAAAAUCACAGAACACCUUAAACAAAGUCAGAAGACAAAGUACUUGACAAACUGAGAGAAAUAUUCCUAACAUAUGCCACAGACGAAGGGCUGAUAUUUAUGGUAUAUAAAGUGCUUUUAAAUAUCAAGGAACAAAGGAUCAAGCCCUCACAGAAAGGUGGAAGAAAAAGACACGGACAGACAAUGCACAAAAUAAAAUAGAACAAUGACCCUCGAACAGACUUACUCAGAAUUAGAUAAACACAUAUUGUAAAACAACUACAAGAUACCAUUUCUCAUUUACCAGACGGGAAAACAUGAAACACUGUGGCCUCACAUUCAGUUGUGGAGGGGGCUUGAGCACCCGAGGGGCACCCACGGGGCCUCCUCUGUGCCCACCUUGGCCAUUGUGUAUGCAUUGUCUCACUCAGUCCUUGCGAUGGCUCUGGGAGGAAGGUCUUAGCAGAAGAGCAAACUGGGGCUCAGGAAAGUGAAGUGACCCACCCUAAUCUAGCUUUUAGUGUCAGGGCCUCAUCUGGGUUCAGCCCUAGCCUUUGGACUCCAGAUUCGGUGCUCCUUCCAUGAGCCCACCCUACACCCACUCCCCAAGGCAGGGACUGGGCCUUAUCCCCUGCGCACCUCCCUCAAUGCCCAGGGAGUGCUGGAUGCUCUGGAGUUGCCUGUGGAGUGACUGGGCGGUGAGGGAAUCGAACUUGGAGCUGCUUUAUAAAAUGCAGACUCCUCCACCAACGUGAUUGUUGUCUCGCUAAAGAGCUGUUGAUUGAUGGACGGAACUGGCACUUUCCCACAGGCCAGUCAGCCAGCCUCAGUCAGCCCCUUUCCCAUUUUAAGGAUUGGUCAGAGAGAGUGGGUGUUUGUGGGUGCAUGGGGAGCAACAAGCCCCAGGGGCAGAUCAGCUGGUCUGCUGGAAAAGAGGCUGAGCCAGACCUCAGCUCCUAUAGAGAGCAGAGGAGACCCUGGGAGGAUGGUGGGGGCAUGAUUGCCGGAAGGUCCUGCUCCAAGCCUGAGAAUUCUGCUUUCCAGUCAGUAAGUUGUUUAUUACACCCUUGACAGUGUCCUCCUCCGCCCCUGCCCCUGGAUCCUGAGGAGCCUGCAGAGGGCGGGGCAGGGCCUGCUGAGGGUCUGACCUCUCAAGGGAAAGGGGUCGCUGGAAGCGUGGAUCAAGCCAUCCACCCUCCUUCCCAUCACGGCCCACUGGACCAGAGCGCUUGCCCGAGCUCCCGGAGGCCCUGAUCUCUGCUGGAAGGGCAGGCUAAACAGAAAUUCCCUGGGACCUUGGGGCAUCUCCCUCUCACUUCCCUGGACUUCCUUUCCAAGGCUCCUUCUAGGGAGUUGUUGUGCUUCUGGGGCAGGGCGUGUAGUUCUCAGAGCUUCUUAGGAACCGCAGUCUUGCAGACCCUAUAAAGGGGUGCAUGAGGGCCCCGUGUCCCUUGGCUUGAGUAAGAGCUGGUGGUGAGAAUCAGCCCCAUGCCAUCUCUGGCUGUCCCACCGUCGCUGGUCAGGGUGAUGCCUGUUGCUCCCAGGCACAGAGCGCGGCAUGCAGAAACACCCUCUUAUUGACUCUGAGCUUCUCAAGAGCCCCACGAAGUCAUCAGGGGGAGUGUUUUCACUGCCCUUUUAUGGCUGGGCAAACUGAGACAGAGCUACCUCCUGACCUACACUGUUAUCAUCUGACUUUUCACCCCUACCUCCUCCUCUCUGCUCUUGCCUUGGUUUGGUAGCUGAGAAAGAUUAAGAAAAGAAGCAUUGUAGACCAUUCUAGAUAGUCCUUCAAGGACACCCUGUCUUACCUCCAUGUUUUCCCUAGGGGAACUCAGCUGUGAUUAGGAGGAACCUGAGGGCCCUCACUCUGAUUGGUCAGAGUGAGGAGGGGUGCAGGCCUGUUUGGGAGCCAGGAACUUACCUCCACUCCAUGGCUCAGCGAGGGAAGCUGCUGACCCCUGAACACACAGAGAAGCCAAGGCCAAGCAGGUUGAAGACAGGCAGUCCCUAGCCUCUAGCCCUCCUGGCUAUACCACAAACGUGGACAUCAGACUGAGCAGAGCAGGCCAGUGGCCAAGGUCAAAAUUGCUUUCAAUGUCCUGUCCACCAAGUGACCUGUGGACCUAGCCUGCCUCUCUGGGGAGGGACAUUCCAAAGACAACCAGCCACCUUCUCUCUGCCCUCCCCACCUCAUCAGGCCUCCGGCCCUGGGUAUGUGGGCCUCCCCCCACAUCCCUGGAGCCUGGCACAGCCUCCCUUUGGAUACUCACCAUGGGUGGACAGCUGGGACCAGCCUUCCCCAUAAGGGAAAUUCUAGAUCCCACCAAAUUCCAAAUUCCAUGGCCUUAUCUGGCACCAUUCUGUCUGGCCUUUCAUGGGUUUCCUUGUGUGGGAGGAAGGACCUCCCGCCCACAGAAAGAUUAUGGGGCAGGGAAGCAGGGAAGUGGGGGUUCCCCACCUUCCCACCACUCAAGCUCCCUGGAUGUGUCACAGACUUGUACCAUGGCUGGAACACACAGGUUGUUUAUAUGGAGAGCAGCCAGGAACAGGGAUUUGGGGUGUGGCUGGGGGUAAAGACAAUGGGCUUGACAGCAGCAAGCCACCUCCAUGGUGAAGUCAUUGUCCCAUUUAACCCUGUCAGAGCAGAGAUGCUACAGCAAGGCAAAUCACUUCCUCUCUCUGAGCCUCAGUUUCCCUGUCUGUUAAAUGAGGGGGUUGGACUAGUGAACCAUAGGAUUCCUUAUAUGAAAGCUAUAUAAGCUGUGCAUCGUAAAGUCCCCUUAGCCCAGCAGCCUAUAGAAUUUCCUGAGGGGCAGAAGGUGCCAUUGUGACACCCACUGGCCUCUUCCAAGCAUUUCCUGCUGGGCACCCUAAAAAUACAGUAGGGGUGAGGUGGGGGUUGGCGAGAGUAUGGGCUCGGCCAUUGCUAGAGUCGUCAUUUCACACAUCAGCAAACGUGCCUCUGGAGGGAGUGCUCUCGCACUGAGCUUGGCGUGGCUGGCUCCUUGUCAUCCAGGUCUCGGCUCCAAUGGCCCCUCCCCAGAGAGUCCUUUCCUGGCCCCCUGCCUCUUUUACUCUUCUUCCAGCACUUCUUGCCAUCUGGAAUGGUUGUUUGAAUACAGACUUAUGUGUUGACUCCCCAGCCUGGGAGCGCAGGGCUGUGUACGCUCAGCAAUGUACCCUAAAUGCUCAGAACGGUGCCCAGCACACGGUGGGCCCUUGUGAACAGGUGCUUAGCAAACGAAAAACCACAAUCGUACGUAAAAAUCUUAAGAGUUUUUUUUUUUUAAUGCACAUGCCUGGCCUUUACCCUAAAGGUUCUGGUUUAGGGACUGUGGGCCAGGUUUGGGCAUAUGAAUUUUGACAAAACACCCCAGGUGAUUCUGUGGCACACUUAUGUUAAAAAGAGACUAGCUUGGUCAUUCUCAACCUUAGCUGGACAAUGGGAUCACCUGGCACCUAGGUCCCACCCAGAGAUCCUGACUUAAUUGGUCUUGGGUUCUGGCCUGGCCGUCAGGAUCUUUAAAAGUCCCCCAGGUGGUCCUCUUGUGUAGCUGAGGUAGAGGACCCUGGAACCUGAGGAUCUCCAAGGCCUCUCUGAUCCAAAAUUCUGCAUUCUUGGAAAGCCCUGCAAGGUUAAGCCACUUGUUCCACACAGCAAACUGAAUUCUCAAAUGGGGAAACCUCCUUGUUGAACCCUCCUGCAAAGAUGAAGAAAGGGAUACCCUUUUUGACCCUCAUAGAUGAGUUGAAAGCAUUGCCAGAAGCCUUGUGGCCCAUCUCCGAUGACUGCCCAGGAACUCCCAGGAAUGGCCUGUGGCUCUGUGCACAGCCCCCCAGCACCUCCUUUUCCUGGCAAGCCAGCUGAGCUGUGUCAAAACCUAUCUCAUCUCCUCCUCUGAUAGCACACAGUUUUAAAUAAGAUCUUCAUUUACCAGAAGUUCACACCACCGCGUAUGUGUUAUAUGAGAAGUAGCAAUCUUGUGUUCAUGAGGGAAAUGCAGUCAGGGAGGGUGGAGGAGAGCCGAUUGCAGAGGGAGUGCACAAGGAGGGAGGAACUCGUGGAACCUGAGCUGGUGGCCCAGCCCCGGCCCCAGCCCCAGCCCUGGCAGUGCCAUGCUCCUCUUGGCUCAGCACGGGGCUGGAGGGGGAGGGGCUCCCACUUUGCAAGCUGACCUCAGCUGCUGGAAGGCUUGGAGCAAAUGGGCAUGUGAUGUCACCGUGAGCUCCGCCAGUUGGCAGCCCUGGCCUUGCUUUGGGUCAUUUACAUGUCUUCAGUUGGUUAAGAAGGAGCUCUUACUGCCGAUUUAUUAGUUGCCGCCUGCCUAGCCUUGGUAGCUGUGAUAAGGAAGGGGUUUAGGGGCCAUGGAUGGAUGCCAGUCCCCCAUGGCCAUGCUGCCUCACUUCCCAGCACAGCCUGCCAUGCAGCAUGUCAGUGAAUAAACCAAUUCCAGUAGGAUGGGGCUUGACAGUUUCCAGGGUGUUCUCAUGCAGUCCUCCCAACCACUCUGUGAGAUGGGCAUGAUUACCUUGCUCGUGGAGAGGAAGAAACCAAAGCUCAGGGAGCUUGAGUGCCUUGUACACAAAGCUGCGACCUUACUCCAGGAUUUCUGCCAGCUGUGUCUGCACCUGAUGGGGGACUUGUGGGCAGGUCGCUGUCCCUCUGAAUGUGGUCUGCAGUAUUUCUACUUCCACAGCACUUGUCCAUUCUGAUGGCCUAAAUGCCAAGAGAACAGGGAUCAAGGACCAGUGUGCCCUGUGACCUUGAGCAAGGUUGUUUCUGCCUCAGACCUCAAUUUUCCCAAAGGUAAAGCAAGAGUUGGACUGGGUGGUCUUCCAGGAAGGUAGGACCCCUCGGCUUUUCGUUGCAGGUUUUCAAGUGUGUCCUAGCACCGAGGAGAUGAGGAUCCUGAGGUGGCCCCAUCCCGGGGUCCUGAGGUGGCCCCAUCACGGGGUCCACAGUACAAGGUCAAUGCACUUGUAAUAAAUAUUGAGCCAACCAAUGCUGAGCCGCAUCCCUAGCCUCUGAAUAAAUAAAAUGUUGCCCAGAAUAACAGCCCGGAAGAUGCUGGCGGCUUCAGCCAGCUCUCACCUUUGCCUCUCCCACUGGCCAAGCCUGUCACCCGUCCCUAUACUCCCUUGUCUCCCCCUUCCCUCUGCCUCCCCACUCCACGGUCCAUCACUCUAGCUCCAGAGGUGGCCACCGUCCCAGCCUGGCUUUAGUUUCUAGCUCUGCAGCCUGCAUCUCCCUCUCCCAGCCCCUCAGCUGCCACAGCAGUUAAUGAGGACCAACCCCUACAGAUGGCAGCUGGGAGACAGGCCAGCCAGGUUCUGGUGGGGCUGGGGUGGGGCACAGGGAACUGGAGGUGGGGCACAGGGGAGUGUGCCUUUAAUCCCCAGCACCAGACAGAAGCCUUUCCUUCUUUGUCAGGACCCUUGCUGGCAUUUCCUCCUGCAGCCCAUCCCUGGGAGAUGAACUGGUCCAACUCCUGCAGGAGGCCAGCCCACUCUAACUGCUCUUGGCUGAGGCCGCCAGGAGAUUAGAAACAGGGUCCACAAAGGAACCUGGUCCCAGGGUGCUCCAGGCCACACAGGCACACUUGAUUUGAUGCUUCUCUGCCUGAUGAGUGUGCAAGUACAGUUAUAUGUGUUAUAUGGCUCCCUUCUUUUUACGGUUCAAGUUUCUCAGGGGCAGAGCCGGUUAGGUCAAGUGUGAAGUUACAAAAUGUUAGCACUGAAGAGAUAUCUUCCUCAUUUUAUAGAUGAGGAAAUUAACCUCGGGGGUGGGGGGCGGAGAUAAGGACACUUGCCCAGGGUCACACAGCCAGGAAGCAGCAAAAGAGCCUGGAUUUGGAGCCUGAUUAGGGCCUGUGCCCUUGGCCCGCACUUGACACCGCCCCCUCCAGGGGCUUUUGCUGGGGCCCUCACGGAGAUGAGGCUUCAUUCUUGAGAUUCAGGCCUGGCCCAGAGAAGUCCAAGCCAGGGAAUCGAAGCUUCUUGGUCCCAAGGUUUAUGGACUGCCCUGGGGAAACAGUACCCCAUCGGAAAACCUGCUCUCUGCUCUAUGAAAAGGACCUUCACCAUGUUGUGGGGUUUCACUGAAAAGUAUUCUGGGGACCAGCAUAAGAAGCAAAGCCCCUUGUAUGACCUUCCUUUGGUCUGUCAAGCUGUGUGAGAACCAGCAGGGAGCCCCUGGGGUGGGAAGCUCAAAGCCCCAGGCAGAACACACCUUCCCUUUGCAAGGCACUUUCUAGAUGGAAUCCCUGGGGAGAAGCCUAAUAGCUCAGUGCAAGAGGCGUGUGGGGUUUCAUCCCCAUUCUACAGGUGAGAGCACCUAGAUGCAGCUAGAAUACUUGGCCAGAGUCUUGUGGCUAAGACAGUUCCCCAGCCAGUUCCAGGCUGCUGGGUCUGGGGGCCCUGCUGCCUUGUUAGGAACUUGGGAGACUUGGAAACCUGGGCCUCUCUUCCUCUGCUCUAUUUGCAGAGGUCCCAGGGUCAUUCUGAACACAUCAGGGAGACUCAUCCUAAAAGCUGGGUUGAGGGGACAGGAUUUGGCAUCCAGAUCCCCUCCCCAGCAGGCCAGAUAGAUUCCCACUGGUCUCCUGGCCCAGAAGGAGAGGCCAGCCCUUCCCACCCCCAGCGCCCAGGGGGGCCCCUCCUCCCCCGGCCUGGCUGCAAUGCCGGGCCCCUAUUGCAGGACUCGCUGCCGCUGCCUCUGACUCUGCCUCUGCCUCUGCCUCUGCCUCUGACAGACAUCCCGCCCCAGAAGAUAAGGAUCCUGUCUGGCGCCGGAGUGCUUUUUUUCCUCCUUCUUUCCAAAUCUGUUCCCUGAUUAUCUGCAGACAGCCCCUCGCUAGGGGAGCCACCAGGGAAGGGGCCCAGACCACAGAGAAAGACAGGAGGGGUGGGACUAACAGGCCUGCAGCCACCAGCCCUUCUGAACCCCUCUGGGGGCUUGAUGGUCAUUUGCUGAGCCCCCACUGUAGCCAGAGCCCUGAACUCAGCAGAGAGCUGAGGACUGGUUUCCCUGGGUGGGACUGACCCACUUCAGCGGGAAGAAGAGGGUAUGUGGACUGGAGGUUGUGCCAGCGUGGGCUGGGAUGGGGACAGAGGGUGGGGUUCCUUCCGUGGUCAGCGUUCCUCAGCCUUGGGCCUGGAGAGCACCCAGAGGGGAUGUGGUAGAGGCUUCAGCCAGCCAGACGGCCACAUCCUGUGGGAGACAUUGGCCCUUCCCAGGCCAGACGGUGGGAGGACACUUAGGGACUGGUAGGGGGGUCCUAGGGGGUUCCCGGAGCCCAGCCUCCAGCCCUGAGGACUGAGCUUAGAGAAUGGCCAGGGCUGGUGUGGCCUCUUGGCCUCAACCUGAAAAGGAAGGGCAGCUCCCCACCAACUGGGCUUCAGACCAGGCACCAUUGUGGAAUUCCAGCCUUAGAGUGCCCAAGCCGCUGAGAGCCCUAGAGAGCACCUGGUCGCAUCUGGGCCAUCUAUAGACAGAGGGACCCAUGUGGAAGGCAAAGGGAUCAUCCCCACCUCGCCCACUGGCAUGUCAGGAGCCUGCAGCAUGGGUCCUACUGCCCUGGGAGCUGGGAGCCCUAGUUCAGGUCCACACUCUGCCACUAAUACGCUGUGUGACGUUAGGCAAGUUCCUUUCCAUCUCUGGGUCUCACUCGUCAACUGUAAACUGAAGGGGCCUUCUGGUCGGGGCAGGAGGGAACAGUGGAGAUCUGAGUCCAAAGACCUUUCCAAACUUUGUCAAACUCCUCAGGGUUGUUGUAAGAUUCAAUGAGAUAUUGAAGGUGACACCUUGGCUUACAGUAGGUGCCCCAUAAGUAUGAGUAUGUCCAGCCCUUGACAGCUCAGACUAGGGACCUCAGGACUGGGCAAAGCCUGGGCAGUUGAGUUCCCCUCUGUGAGAAUGUGCUUGUGUAGCCUUAGAGAAAGACCCUACACCUUCCCUGCCCCCAGCAUCCCUUGCCAUGCCCGCCCUGCCUCACCUAAAACAUGUGGGGGAAGGGAAGCAAUGCAAGAUCAUUUUUUAUGGCUUCCUGGCCCUGGAGCCAGAGGGCUGAGGAUCGGGUGGUGUGGGCCGGAUUCCUGAGCCCCCCUUCAGAGCCAGCUCGUAAAUAUGAAGCCGGGGCAGGGAGGAGCUGGCUGUUAAGCUGUCAGCAGAGGCCCAUUUAGAAAGUCGUAAAGCGUUUCUCAGAGCUCCUCAGAGCUGGGACCCAGGGCCCUCCCGCCCCACACUGACCGGCAGUGGCCUCCUCAUUCAUGGGUGCUGGGCUUCCCUGCCCGAGCCCCCACUGGAGACUCCCUGGCUCUUGCCAUUAGCUGUGCCUUGGUUUCCUCUCUGUGCAAAGGAAGUCUGCUCUGCUUCUCCUCUGGGAGAAUGGAUGGGGAGGUCCAGUGAAGCCCUCAAGAGGCCAGAGGGACCCUGGUCCUGAGAGCAGUGAACCCCCAUAUUUAUCAUUCCCUUCUCUGUGCCUCGCUCCAAGGGGACCCAGAACCUACCCCCAAGGAGCUCACAAAAUUCCACUUAGGAAUGAGAGAAGAUGCAUGCCCCUGAAGAGAACGCCCACAUUUUCUCCAGCUCAGAGGAGUGAGCUCCACGGCUGGGAUGUGGAAGGCUUCCUGGAGGAGGUGGAGGUGUAGAUGGGGGCUCCAGGGUAUUCAGAGGUUUGGAGAAGAGGCAGGAAGCACAGGUGGUGGGCAAACAGGCCUGCCUGGGCGGAGGGUAGCUAGGAUCCCAGGCUGGGUGUGGAAUAGCAAAGGCCACAGAGCCUGUGAGCAGAGGCCCACUCUGGGGACCAAGUGCACGUUCCCUAAUGACCCCUGUUUGCCUGGUCACCAAGACUCGUGUUUAUGUGGAAAAGCUCUGGCAACAGCAUGGGUUCAAAUACUACCCUCCCUGCUUCCAAACCACGUGUUCCUGGACAGUUUAGCCCAUGUGAGCCUCGUCUUCAACCACAAAGUGGAAUUAAUAGCAAUCUACCCCAUAACGUCUCCAUGAGGUUUAAAUGAGAUUUUAGAGAGAGAGCCGUCUCACUCAGUGCUUGGGCAUUUUUGGAGUUGGUUAGCCUGGGUCUGAAACUCGGCUCUGCCUCUUACUGACCAUGUGCCCUUGGGGUCACCUCUUAAGACCUCAGUUCUCUCAUCUGUAAAGUGGGGGUAAGAGCAGUGAGACGUCAAUAAGUAAAUACACGGGAAGUCCUCAGCACAAAGCUGGCAAUCCUGAGUGCAUUAACUAUUAUUAUGCAAGGUGUUCCUGCAGCACCUAGUGUGAAGGAGGUGCGGUGAAGUCCGUAUUGGAAGCCUCCUGCCUCCAUCUCCAGCCUGUGGCCUCUAUAGGAUCGGGAAGGAGGUAGUUUUACUGGGAGCAGAAGUGGUCUUUACUAGGACUUUGUAAGUCCUUUAUUCUGUCUCAAGAAAUAUUUGAUGCUCACCUUAAGGCAAGUGGAAAUGGUAAAACCUCAGCCAGUCCAUUUCCCUCAUUGGUGAUGAGCCAGGUGAGCCUGGGGGAAGAGGUGUGGUACCUGGAGCUGGGGAAGAUGAGGAAGGUGGGGAGAGGCUCCUGUCAGGCAGGUAAUUGGGGAUCAAGGGGCUUCCUGUGUCUUCCCACAGAAGGGGACGGGAGACAAGGCAGCUUCCACUGAGUCGCCUCAUUAACUUCGCCACAAAUAGCCCAACAGCCUGUAACUCCCUCAGGCAGAAAUCUGGAGCUGUUCAGAAGCUAAAUAAAUAGGAGUGUGAUCAUUAAAAACUAGAGGUGCUGGGAGCCCCCCUGCCCUGGGUGGAAAGCCCGUUUCCUGUUGGAAACACCAGUCUCCCUACCAUUUGGAGCCACAGGAAGGGGUUGCUCGAAGACCUCAGGGGUAAACUGUUCUGGAGGGUGCAAAGGGUCCUGAAAGUCAGGCAAAAUCCCCACAACGCCCACCCUGCCCAGGGCCCACUUCUCCAGAGUGGCUCUUUUCUUCCCAAAGUUUCCAGUGACCCCAAGUUUUGUUGCUCACACUCACUCCUGUUCUCAAUCCUGUCACUCAGAAUGUCUUGUGGUUUCUGAUUAGCGAUAGGCCCUGCUGGACGUCUGAGGCCUCGACUCCAUGCUUACAUUUGCAUUUAUUUUUUUUUAGUCUCACUCUGUCACCCAGGCUGGAGCUCAGAGUCGUGAUCUCAGCUCAUUGCCACCUCCACCUCCUGGGUUCAGCUUCCCAAGUAGUUGGGAUUACAGGCAUGAGCCACCAGGCCCGGCUACUUUUUGUAUUUUUAGUAGAGAUGGGGUUUCACCAUCUUGGCCAGGCUGGUCUUGAACUCCUGACCUCAGGUGAUCUGUCUGCCUCAGGCCUCCCAAAGUGCUGGGAUUACACACCUGGGCAGCAUUUUCACUCUCUUAUACAUAUCCUCAGAAGCUUAAUUAUUAUUACUAUUUUAAAGACAGGGUCUUGUUCUGUUAUCCAGGCUUGAGUGCAAUGGCGCAAUCAUAGCUCACUGCAGCCUCGACCUCCUGGGCUCAAAUGAUCUCCCGCCCCAGCCUCCCUAGUAGCUAGGACUACAGGUGUGCACCAUCAUGCCUGGCUAAUCCCUAGAGGCUUUAGACGAGGGAGUUAAGGCUUCUGCCUGCUCAGACUUAGAAAUGGAGGCCUGGUAACACCCUGUUCAUUUCCCUGCCCUUGAGCUGUCCUGGGAUGGUGGAAGAGAGGGUGGGUUCAGAUUUGAGUGGCGUGUCUCCCAGCCACCCUAAGCCAACCUCUGCCCCCACAGUGCCAGUGACCCAGGGAAGACUGACUUAUCAUCUCCCUCAAUGUGCCAGAAAACCUCUCAGCUAGUAGAUACCUUAGUGUCCAGGGCUUACUUGCGUUGGGAUGGCAUUGGGGGUAGUGGGGCAGGUUUUAGCAGCGGCCUUGGGAAGGGGAAACAUUUUCUAUAAAGGAACAUUAACAGAGGUGACGCCCCACCCCCAGGAGAACCUCGUUAUGAAGAGGGGGUGCCUGAGGUGGCAGGAGGCCCCAGGCACAGGGAGGGAAUGGGCCUGAGGGUGGCCAUCGAGUUCGGGUGGGUGGGAUGAGGGUCGCCCGUCCUGACUGAGCAGUUAGGGGCUCCUCAUGCAUGUCACUGGCUGAUCACUUAACCUCUUGGGCCCUGUUUCCCCAUCACUAAUAGUUCCAGCCUCAUGGGAGGCUGUGCAUGUUAGUCAAAAGGUCCAUGCCAGGCCCUGCCCAGCGCUGAGGUUAGCUUCUGGUGCUUAGCUGCAGUGGCCCAGUCUGGAGAGCCCACUCCACCCCCAGUCCUCUGUUCAGCAGUGCAAGAGCAGGGCAUCCACGGGGGCGGGCAGUGGGCACACACCCCUGCUGGAUGGGUGGGAGCCCCAGAGAUUAUAAGCAGAGCAUAUGGUGGCUGGUGCCAGAGGGCCCCUGGGUGACCCUGAAGCCCAGAUUCCUCCGGUCAUCUUCACAGGGUUCCCUCCUGUGAUCUGCAUGUGAGCACACACACAUCUGGAUUUGGCAGACCCUGUAUAUAUACUAAACCCCUGGGCCUGCCCUCGGGAGGCUGCCCAUUCUGUGAGGGGACUGGCCUUGGGCUCAUGGAGAAAUAAACAGGUGCCCAGUGUGGGGUGCCUGGAGGCAGGAAAGGCUGGGCUGGGGCUCCAGGCGGGUGAGGGAAGGUGGCAUGUUAGCUGCUGUUCCUGCUGAGCCUUCCUUCCCUCCCCACCUACCCCACCCACCCUCACGGUCUCUCCAUUCUCCACCUCAGAAGCCCUGCUGCAGGAGGGAGUCCCGGAGAUUAUGAGCCGCGCUUCUCGUGUGCCAACCUGUGCCCCCUCCCCCCAUGGGCAUGCUCACUCUUCUGCCAUGCGGCCUGCUGCAUUUUUUUGGAUGACUUGGGCAGCUGUUGGUGUCCGGCCCAAAUCUGCAUCCUCUGGCUUCUGCCCACUGGCCCAGGCCAGCCACUCACCACCAAGGAUACUUCAAUUCCUCUUCUCAUGUAACCUCUUGAGCGUGAUACCCCUUCUCCCAGUAGGGGGGACCCCAGUAACCCCAGGAAGGAAGGCAGGCUCUCAGGGUGGACUAGCCAUAGUGGUGAUGCCCGUGGCCUGCCUCUGAUAGGCACAGGCCGUGGGCACAGGGCCAGCAGGGUGGACACGGGUGAUGAGGCCUGGAAGGUCCAAACCCCAUCCCUCGCCCUGUCUUCAGACUCCAGCCUCCCAAGGGGCCCUCACGAUCGCUUCCUGUUAGGGUCACGGCUGAGCAGAGGCUACCAGCAAUGAUUUCCUCCCGGCCCAGCAGCUGCCCGCCGCCUGCUCCUCCUCCCCCACUGUCGCUCCACUACUCGGUCUCAUUUCUAAAAGACCUGAGGGGAGGAUGGGGGCAGGAACAGCAGAGGCGUAGCUGAUAUUUCUGGCUGUCCAUCUGUCUAGCUUGAGAAUGCCUGUGGCUGAGAAACCAAAAGGUUCCUUUGACGGCCCUUAGAAGAAGAUGGGGCAGGCCCCUUGGUACCAGUCCCCAAGGGCCAAGAAGAAGACUUUAAUAGGAAUCCCUGCCUGAAGGGCAAGUUCAGGAUGGCCUGCUGAGCUUCUUGUAAUUAGCAGCCUGCGAAUCCAAGAUUCUAUAAUUUUGUUGUUGUUGUUGUUUUUGGACUUGAUGUGUCUGAGAGUCCAUCAUCAUGGUAGCCUACAUGUAUGCCAGGAACUGGUCAGAUCACUCUACUUGUAUUGACCCUAUUCAUCUUCAAAGCCUCCUUAGGCAAGAACUAGGCCCCCAUUUUACAGAGGAGAAAACUGAGGCUUAGAGAAGUCAAGCAACCAGCUGGGUUUCAUGUCCUAGCUCCAGACCUCCCAGGGCUCCUGUCUUGAGACUCAGUUAGCUGUGAUUCACUUUAGCUAGAGGAGAGGUUGCCUAAGCAGGCCUGAGAAGCUUGGUGGGUUGCCAGUGCCGAAGGCCCCCCCAGAGAGUCUGUAACUGAGUAGCUUCAGCAAGAGCCCCGCAGAAACAUCCUACAGGCACCUGGCUUGUAAAGACACAUGAAGACCUCCUCAAAUGCCCCAUAUCCCCACUGCCGCGUAGCCCUCUCCAGUCAGAGAACUAGCUCGUGUCCUGGGUUAGUGCUGUCUCCAGGGCUCUAGUCUGCUCCAGGAGUGAGCCAGAGGCCCUGGUGAACACAUGUAUUAUCUGAGCAGGGGGAGGCUGCAGAGAGAGGGGAAAUGUGCUUAUCGGGCACAUCUAGCUCUGUCCCUGGGAGGCUGAGCUGUACUUGAACAAUAACAGUAGUAACUGGCACCACGACAGAAGGCCCGUCUUCUCCUUGGCCUGGCAUCUCCCCAGGAGAUCUCUAUCUUUAAAUCACAGGCUGUCGGAACUGGAAAGAGCCUCCCAUUACCAUUGCCCAAGUGGAGGCCCAGUGCUUCUAAGUGCCGCCCAAGGACGCAGGAUCAUCAUGGUGCACCUGGGCCAUUAGAGUGGGUGAAGGCCAGGCUAACAGUAAUAAUAAACUUCUAACAAUAGAGAUAAUAGCAGCCUGUUAGUUAUCUUGUGUAUCACCUCCUAUGUGAUUACAGCCUGGAGGGAAUGUGGGGCUGGCCUAGAGUCACCACAGAAGGAGGUGAGACUUGCCUAGCAGUCCCUGGCUGCCAGUGAGAUGCCCACACACGACCUGGUGCUCAGAGAGGCUGCACAGAGGCCCAGCUUGCUGGUCGGCUUUGUGGAGGCCUGAGGCCCUUCUUCCUAGGCCAACCCCAGCCCCCUGGAGUGCAGUGGGGAGAGGACAUGGGGGGGCGUGGCAUUCCCUCACAGUCUGUCUCAGGCCCUCCCUGUGACUCCCUUCCUGCGUGGCGUCCGUCGGCCGUGGCCCAGACCCUGUGUCUGUUACUAUGACAUGUGACCUCGCCCCACCUCCCCCUGGGUGAGAUGAUCUCCUUUGUAGGGAUGAGGAAGCUGAGGCCCACAGUGCCCAAAACGACAUGGCCAGAAAGUGGUAGUGCUCAUUGUGAGGUACUUUGAGGUCCCCCGAGCUAGUUCAGCAGAGAGGAAAGACUGCUGAGGGAGAGGAGAGCCUGGCGUGGGCUUCUUUCCAGCAGCUGAGUGGGCAGCUUCCUCUUCAUCUGGGCCCUGCACCAAUACAGUCAGGUCUGCCCCCCUCUCCCUGGGCAGGGCCUGUCCACCCUCUAGAGACAUCAACACAGCCUGUGGUCACCAAGAUUCCAGGGGGAUCCACUUUGUAGCUGGAAUGUGGUCACCCUGCAGUUCAGGCCCUUGUAUAGCCAUUGUCCGUGUGAGACCCUGGCUGUCCCUGCAGAGGGUUGGCGGUCUGCCAUGGCAGGCCAGGAGUGCCCAGUGCCCUCUCCUGCCACAUCCGUUCCUGUAGAUGAUUGGGUCUGGGCUCUUGGUCGGCGGCCCCCAGAAUCUCACACACACGUGUUGGAGGUGUCUUUAUGAUGCCUGGGUGAGGGAGACGGGGCCACGGUGUCACUCUCUCUGUCCUGGGCUUGGCCCUGCCAGCAGCAGGGCACUGGGUGUGUCCCAGCCUUCCAGCAGGUGGGGCCAUGGAACACCCAAUGAGGACCUCAGCCCACCCAUUCAAGAGUCUGGGGAGCCGGGCGCGGUGGCUCAGGCCUGUAAUCCCAGCACUUUGGGAGGCUGAAGCGGGCGGAUCACCUGAGGUCAGGAGUUCAAGGCCAGCCUGGCCAACAGGCUGUAUUUUGUAUUUUCUAUUAAAAAUACAAAAAUUAGCCGGGCAUGGUGGCACGCGCCUAUAAUCCCAGCUACUUGGGAGGCUGAGGCAGGAGAAUUGCUUGAACCCAGGAGGCGGAGGUUGCAGUGAACUCAGAUCUCAUCACGGCACUCCAGCCUGGGCGACAGAGGGAGACUCAGUCUCAAAAGAAAAAUAAAAGAAAAAGAGUCUGGGGGCUGCUUUAGGGCCAAGCAGAAAGAGCCUGGGCUUCAGAUCAGUUUCCCCAUCUGUGCAGUGGGGGCUGUCACACCUUCCCUGCAGCAGCACUGUGCAGUGAAACUUCUUGCAGGGAUGGGGACGUCUUCUGCCUGCACUGCCCAGUCUGGUAGCCACUAGCCACACGUGGCUAUUGAGCACUGGAAAUAUGGCCAGGGUGAUGAAGGAACUGAACUUUUAAUUUUAAUUAAAGUUUAAACAGCCACAUAUGGCUAGUGGCCACUGUGUUGGAUGGCACAGCUCUGAAGGCUUCUGGGAAGAUGCCAUCCAUCAAGUGCCCAACACCAAGGUUCUCAGCCAGGGUUAGUUCCCUUCCCUGUUCCCCGGGGGGCUUGGGAAGCCUUCGCCACCCCCUCCUCAGAGGCCACCCCACCUGGAUGGCCAAGGUUGGAGAGACUAGACAGUCCAGGGUGGGCUGGAAGGAACAUGGAGGAAAAUCAGAACCACAGCUACAGGGAUCACCUAAGGUCACUGGGUGAAUACUACUUUUAAAAUCUCUUCUGUGCCUCGUGAUAAUAACAUUGGUUGAGUUCUAACCAAAUACCAGGCACUGCGUGAAGGACCUUAUGUAUCAGGCUGCUUAACCCUUGGAGCUAACCAUUGUUCUCCAUAGUUUAUAAUUGAGUACACCGAGGCCCAGAGAGAUGAAGCAACUUGCCCGAGGUCACACAGCUGGUGUGUGGUAGUGCCAGGAUCUGCACCUGGGUGUGUCUGUCUGCAGAGACUGUGCCCUUUGUACAAGCCCAGGUCUCUCCAUUUAUUUAGCCAUCACCUAUUCUGCUGUAUCUAGUACUGGGCCAGGCAUCUUUAGGGACAGAGAAUUGUGCAACACAAGGUUCCUGCCCUCUUAGUCUCCUUGGAGGAACUCCCUGCACAACACGCCCACAACAGAAAUGAUGCAGGGUGCCCCCAGGCAUAAUCAGCAUGAGACUCUGAGCCCUGGCCUUCACAGGGUGGUGGCAGGUUCAUCCCUACAGCCUGGGCCAAUGCCUGCUGGGUAAGGGUGGCCCCCCACCCCAGGGCCACUCAGGCAUUAUGACGACACCCUAAACUUGGGUGUUAAGGUUUGGUUAUAAUCUCCUAAGAUGACACCUAGCCCCUGGGACGUUGCCUGGCACUGCAGAAGGUUUACAGUAAAUAUCAGUUGGGUGAAUGGCCUCUAGUGUUCCAGUGAGCCAGGCAGAAGAGUCAUAUCCUUCUUACAGAGGGCACAGAUCUGGAGGAACCUGGAGACUUGCCCUAAGUUUGCCCCUACUCAGGCCCCUGCUUCUUUCUGAGGCUAGCCGGGGAGCAGGUGGAAGGAAAACACUCAGCUUGCAUACGUAGAGAGGCAAGUCAUAAAUAUCACAACCUCCAAGAGGAGAGGAGGGAGGAGGGAAGGCGGAUCCUGAGAGCUAGGAUGUCCGCUUCCGAGAACCCGCGAUCUGCAGCCGCUGCCAGCAAGGUCCUGCAGGUCCUAGGGACACCCUGUGUGCAUGCAUGCAUGCCUGUGUGCGCCGAACUGGUUGGCGGCGGGGGCGUGCUGGCGUGCUUGUGUGACUGUGGGCGACCAUGGCACGCAGACCGCCUCCAGCUCCCGCUGGCCCUCCCCAACCCACUUCUCAGUUCUCCAGCAGCCAGAUGUCUCCCAGAUGUUCCUCACUUCCUGCCUGGCUCCGUGCAGUGCAUGUGUGUGUUUAUUUUGGACAGGCCACUAAAUAAUAACCAUUUUAAGAAAAGCUUUUCAAAACCUCGUUCCCACGAGGAAUCAGAGUUCAGGAAAUAAUCCCAAUUCUAUUCACUAUUGUCCCCGGGCUCCCUUCUCUGACCUCCUCUCCCCCAACCCUGGGGACCACUUUUGAAAAGAUUUCUUUUUAUCCUACAUGACGUGUGCUCUCUCCAUAACACCAUCUCUCUGGGAGCUAGGGCUUAGAGCUGGGAGCCCCUUAGAGCUUUGCUACCAGCAUCACCUGGAAGCUUGUUAGGAAUUCGAGGCCUCAGCACUGUCCCAGACCACAAUCAGUCUGCGUUUUGACAAGAUCCCAAGGUAUUCGCACCUACAUUCGCGUUUACCGUGAGCCUAGCUCUGUCUUAUUGAUGGGGUAAUGGAGGCUGAGUCUGGCAGGGGGGACCCUUCUAUCAGGUCUUCUUUAGCAGAAUCCCAGUAGGGCCUGGUGGUACAGACUGAGAGGCCCUGAGCCCUCAGAGCUUGGGGUCUGAACUGUCCUUCUGGGUGGGCUGGCGGGGAGAGGCAGCCCAGCUAGUCUCUGAUGUGGGGAGGCAAAGGGGUGGAUUCAUCCAGAGAAUAUGCCACCUCAUCCCUGGUAGCCAGCAUGGCCACAGACUAGGUCCCAUGCCAGCCUCGCCGUGCCACAUGGCCACUAGGUUUGGGCCAGUCCUAGAUCUGCUCUGUGGGCUCCUGUGAGUCCCUGCUCCACCCACAGCUGCCCUCUGGAGAUGGGUCUGGCCCUCCCUGUCUAUUCUGUAGGCACUCUGGGUGCUCAGGUGGGGUGCCACAAGCUGGUGUCCUCCCGUUCCAUUGUGACCCGGCUUGUCAUCCUGCCUCCUGUGAAAAUAGAGCAAAUCGUAUCAGCUCUGUUGGUCUCAGGGCAGUCCCAAGGACACGGGGCUGUGACUUACUGGUGAUACACCGCCAGCACCCUCCUCAUUUCUGGGCGUCAUGGCUCCCUCCUCUCUGUAUCUGAGCGAGGGUGUGCGGAAGGCCUGGCACACCUGGCUGGAGGUGGAGGUGGGGGCGGCCCCGAGAGAACUGAAGCUCAGGCUGUCCUCAGGCAGCUGGUGGCUUAGCUGGGAAACAAGACUCCCGCCUGUGGAAGCCUAAGGAGAAACCAGCCCCCAGUUCAGAAGCCCAGCAGUUGGUGAAGGCUGCCCUCGGUAAGGGAGACCUGGUAGGAGUUCAUUCGUCAACAAGACUGGCGUGGCUUGGGGGGCUGCAUACUGUACGCUGGGAGAGGUAUGACGCUGAGGAGGCAUGGAGGUCCCAGAAAGGCGGAGGACCCCAAGGGGAGAGGAUCCGAGAGGUUCCUUCCAGAAGGAUGGCUUUGUGGCUCUCCACACCCAGGGGCAGGUGAGAUCACAGUGGGGUGGGGGGCCAGGAUGGUAGGGGAGCCCACCUGAGGGAGGUGGGGCUGAAUCAGGGAAGCACCCUGUGGGCUCUCUGAGCUCCCUCUCUGCACAGGGACCAAGCUGUGGGUCAGAGUCCUACAUAUUCAAUAUCUAUUCACCAACAAUCAGUGGGUACAGGAUUGGCUUGUGGUAUCUCAGGGAAGGAGAUACUGGUUUCACCCUGGGAACCAUCCAAGCACCCAGGUCCCUGGUACCAGCUCUCAGCUCUUUGAUAGCAGUCUUGGGGCCUCCCUGGGUCCUGUCUCUGAGGAGCAGAAGAGGAGUUGAGCUCCCCCCACUUGCUUCCACCUCUCAGGUAGGCAGCCUUGCCUCUGGCCUUGGCAGCACUUUCCCAAGCAGGGACGCCCUGGGAGCCUAUACGGCCAGGAGGGAGGCAAUACACACAGCGCCCUGGAGAAAAGCCCCCCGCACCUCCAGAGCAGAAUGAGCUAGCGGGAGGCAGGGAGAAGGGGGGCCCACUUUCCCCUUCUUCCCCUGAGUUGGCACUUUUCUCUUUGAGUGUUAAACUCAGCUCUUCCUUUUUCUCCUAUUCCUGACAGCCUGUUGAAUAAUUUAAAUAUUUGGGCCUAAAGGGCUUCAAUUAUCCUUUAAUUUACAUUAGUAAUUUAUGUAUUAGGCAGAAUGGACACACGGUUAGUGUAACAACCCCCAGUAGACCGGCUAAUAUCUGCUGCACUCACCGUUCUUAAGAAUCUCAUCAUUUUUCUUUGCAGCCCAAGGUCUUUGUUUUCAAAGUGGCUCCUAGGCAUGCACUUUUACACAGACCUGUGUACAUGCUCAGGGGUACACAGCAGAGGAUGCCUGAACUCAUAGAGAACAUUGACAUGCACCCACUUACAGGCAGGCACACUGAAGCAGUGGGUACAGGCUCCUCCCUCUCUCUGUCUCUCUCUCUCUCUCUCUCACACACACACACACACACACACACACACACUCAUAGAUGUAAAACACACACCAUGUCAGACCAGCCAUCUCCACUCCCACCUGCACCCCACUCCUUCCUGUGGGCAGUAUGUACACAUAUGCUUGUAUUUGCAUCUGUUGGCCAGGUGAUCCCAAACAUAGCUCCCUCUGGCAAAGAGGCUACUGGGCCCCAGCAUGACAUUCAGAUGUCCCAUUCUGUGUCCAAGCUUUCAGUCCCUUUUUGCACAGCCCUACACAGGCACCUCACCCCAGGGUUGAACGCACUCAUGAGAACGUGACCACGGCCACAGCUCCAGUGUGCUCACAUGCUGUGGGCUGGCACCAGCUACAAAGUCCUCCUGGGCUUCUCAGGCAUGCUCCCCUCCAGAGCCUGCAGCCUGGGCACCAGUAACCUGGCAUGGCCUAAGCUAUUGCCCUGACAUAGCUAGGCUGCCAAAGGGACCCCAUUUGGGAUUGCCAAUUCCUGGCUGCCCCUCAAAACUUGGCCCAGCUGCCCCAGCACCAGCUUGCAAGGAUUGAGGGCUCCCCAGGGGGUGGGGACAAAAGUGACAGAGAGUGAUAACCCUAUGUGUGAGUGUAUAUUCCAAGCUUGUUAAGCUGGGUUGGGCCCCUGGUUCUGUGGAACGCACCUUGCACCUCUGUGCCGAGACCAUGCUAUACAGGUGAGGCCCUUGGGAUCCAGAGCCAUCUCUGAGAAUGUGGCUUUCCAGCUGUCAUUUCUAACUCCAGGAGAGUCCCCUGGCAUGGUCCCUGGCUCCUCCUACCACCCUCAUCUCUCUCCCACAGCCACAAAGCACAGAGCAGGUAGAAGGCAGGUAAUGCAGUGGGCAGUGCAGAUAUCUGAUUGGUGGGGUAGUCCAUUAUACAGAAGGAAAAACCAAGGCUGCAGGAGGUUAGGGCAUGGAACAGAUAGGUUACUUAGAGAAUCUUCUGGAAAGGUCCCUCUUAGGGGCACUGGCCACGUAUCCCAGUGCCAUGAGGGCUUUUGGAGCCCAGAUUUCCCUCUUCCCACUCCAGUGCUCAGGCUGUGGUUCUGGUUGGGAUGGGGUGGGGACGUGGUUCCUCUCCCCAAGCAUAUGUUUAGGCUCAGGAGAACAGCCCAGAGGAGCUAAGUGGAAAGUGUGUGGCCACAGGUGCCCAUCUCUGUGCCUCUUCAGGAGACUGCCAUGACACCAGGCAUCUCACCACUCUUGAGCAGGGCAGAGGUGCUGGGAGCCCAUGGCAAACCCCGCUGGGCCUGAGCCACCUGCCUGCUGAAGGCCUCUUACCAGGUGGUGCCCCAGGCCCUGCUCCCCAGGAUGCCUUGAAUGAAGGGGCAGUGCCGGUGGGGGAGACAUCAGAACUCCUUUCCCCCCGGCCCUAGGGAUGACCCCGAGCCUCCGGCCGUUCUGCUGGGUCCAAAUGGGAUACUUCCUACCGGGUUGCAUGAGCUAGGCCCCUUCUGGAAGUCCCCAUCAUUGCCCCUCUCCCAGCCUUGGCCUCUCUUCUUCAUCUGUCUGGCCUGGCUUGGGUGUGUGGAUGCUUCCUCAAGUCCCAGCUUAAUUCCUGACUUUCCGAGGAAUCUUUUCCUGAUAGCUCCAACCUCCCCAGACCUGUAUAGCCUGUACCUCAAAAUCUAGGGCAGCAGUGGCAAACGGUUUAUCUCAGGUGGCUGUUUUGAAAGUUUGAGGGUGACUUCCCAGGGUGUAGUGUUGAGAAAUCUAGGGCCACAUCUGGACUCAUUUACAGAAGUCAGCAUUAAUUAGUGAUGUCUGCUGUGGUGUGGGAUGGGGAGGUGGUGGCUCUCAGGCUGGGCACAUGCCAAAACAGAUCCAGGGCUAAAUUCUAAAGUAUUGUUGCUGCGCUGCAGUGGUUUCCUGAAGGGUUAUCCCCCUCCUAGCUCCCAGCACUUUGGGGUAGAGAUUAUAACUUUUCUAAUUUAUAAUCUAUGGGAGUAUACUUCUGUCUCCUACAGAUUCUAAUAUAGAUCUAGAUACAUAGUAGACACUGAAGAGGGGAAUACUUACAGCAUGCUAGAGGUGGAAGGAAUUCUAGAGAUCACUGAGUUCAGGGAUGGCAAGUAGGUCUCCUCUUGCUACCAAUCCUGAACAAACAGUGAUGACUUUCAGGAGAUGUGCUGAUUCAGAGACUCAGAUCUGGCUCAGUUGGGUCAAUUAGUGAUGUCUGUCAUGGGCUCAGCCAUGGUAGUAGUUGUACCAAGGUAUUGCUAUCCCUGUUUUAUUUCAGUCUUCCAAAUAUAUUGAUAUGGAAACUAGGACUCAGAGUGGGUAAUCUGUCAGAGGUUACCCCGCUGCUUGCUUGGAUGGUUAGAGAAUCCUCACUCCUUCCAAAGGAGUUUCCCUGUCAGAGGUCAGGGUAAGGAAGGUAGAAUCUUCAAAGCCUGGAUAGACAAACUGAUGAUGUGUCUUUCUGAGACUGGUUCCUACAGCUGUAGUCUUUGUAUGUCUUCAUGCGGUUUUUAAACUUUUAAACUUUCACCUUUUGAUAUAGUAGGUGGUAGGUACAAUAGAAACGCUGUACAUGGCAUUUAAAGGCAAAUUGGAUUUUCUUCUGGCAGCCACCCUGGACUUCAGACUUGCAGGCCCCAGAGCACAGUUUAUCUCCCCAUCUGCAAGAGCGAUUUUCCAUUUGCUCCACAAUGGGAAAUAAGAAUCCAUCAUGUGCCAUUGUGUCAGGAAGGUGGUGUCUACUUUAAUAAAUUUGCUUUUAAAUGCUGGCUGUCUCUGGAGAUCGUUUCGCUCAUGCCUGCAGACAAAGUGAUUAAAGUUGCAGAGUAUACAUGGUUCCUGCAAAGACCCAGAAGGGGUCUUCUCGGUCCAUAUCUGAAACCCUUGCCACAUAGGGGAAUGAAUGAACCAAGAUAAUUCCUCUCCUGUGAGAGUCUCAGUGCCACAGGCUGAAGCACACACAGGGAAGAAUUGAGGAUAUUUAUUUUUCUUUAAGUUGUUUUCCCCCAGGAAAAAAACCCACAGGCUGGAGAUGUAUACCUCAAGUCAUUGAUUUUAUUUCCUCUCAAAUUGACCUUGCUUUUCUAGGACUUUGCCUCUUUAAGUGUACCAGGUGUGACAUCUUUGUAAGUAAAUGAAGUGCUGUGUAAUGUUCCCCUUCACCUCCUCCAACAAAAAAGUGAUUUGAAAUCUGGGUUAAAAAUAAGUGUCACAUAUAUAUAUUACAAUAUUUUCCCAAAUGCCUGUGCUUUAAAAAUGGGUGAAGGGACAGUUAACAUGCUCUUCAGUGGUAUCUGAAUCUUGAAUUUUAUUUUUCCAGGUCUAGUCCCUAUAUAGUUGAUCAUUCACAGUGACUCUAGGCUGAUCUCUUGCCCUCUCUGGGCCUGUUUUGCCAUCUAUCAAAUGGGCUAACUUUGGGCCUGAGCAGCAGGAAGCGUGAUAGAGCACCAGGCUGUGAGGGUGGCUCCCUUUUGUGUCUCUGCAUUGAGCAGGAUAGAGUUUGACCUGCUGCCUACCAAGUGUCCUGCCAUGAGUCCCAGAGCCCUGCAGUUAAUAGCAGCCACGCCCUCCACCUCACUGCCUGCUUCUGUGAGAGCGCUUUCAAAUCUCUCAUUCCUCUCAUCUCACAAUUACCCUGUGAAGGCGGGACUGGUAUUGCAUUGUACAAAAGAGGAAAGAAACCUGGGCUUGGAGAGAUUGCUAAUAAUGACAACCACUAGCAGUUUUUCAGCUUUUAUUAUGUGCCAGGCACUGCGCGAGCUUGUUGAAUGCAUUGCCUCAUUUAUUCUUCAGAGCAACCCUAACCCUAUGAGGUAGGCAUCAUUUCUCCCAUCUUAUUGUGAAGGAAACAGACUCAGAGAGGUGAAGUGAUUUGCCCAAGGCCAGACCCCUUCACAGAGACCUGCCUUGUGAGACGGCACCUGCAAGGAGAGGGAAGGCAUUGGUAGCAGUGAAGUCCAUUCCAGAGAGCGGGCAGGGAGUGACAGCAGGAGCCCCAGAGACCCCCAGGACCUGACUCAGCCUGGCAGUCUGUUCGGGUCUCCCCAGGAGAGUAGACGGUGGAUGGGGAGGUGAGGCUUGAGGGUUAGGACAGAGAAGAGGGGGUUUUCUUAGAGAGCUCAAGGGACAGGAGGAGAGAAGAGAGACAGAGCACAAGCCCCAGGACCUGUGUCCAGGACAUUGGUCAUUUCUCAGGACCCCAGGCAUUUCCCUCCAUCCCUCUUAGCUCUUUGCUUCCUUGCAGCUCAGACCUCUAAAAUCCUCCCCUCAUUUCCACACUUCACCUCCUCACCUGUGGACUCUGGGUCUGCACCCUCUGCUUCUCACACUUCCUUGCUGCAGACUCCAACCUCGGGGGAACCCCAAAGGCCCAACCCUCCCCAGCACUGAGUAUCAGAAGUGCCACAGCCCUGCCAUUAAAGGGGGCCACCACCUCCUUUCCCCGUAGCUUGGUCUUAGUGAUGCUGGCCACCCUACUGCAAGGCCCAGGCCCAGGAGUAGACAGUACCCGAGUUUGGGUGUCCUUCCCUUCCCCCGACACCAUGCCCAAGGAGGAGCAGCAGCAGUGCAGCUUCCUGGGAAUGAGGCUUUCUUUCCACCUUCUCCUCGUCCAUUGCCCUGGAAAUACCUGUAGCAGGUGGGCAGGCUGGCAGGGAAGGCCAGGCGCAUCUGAUGUCACUGCUCCCCAGCAUUGUUUUGGUUCUGACCACAGUGGGGGUGGGGUGUAUGUCUGUGUGCUAAGUCCACUCAGUCCCAGGGCAAGCUGGGGCUUUGUCUCCCUCUCCCCUGCCAAGCUCCCUGGUUCCUGGCUGAAAGCAUUUCCAGGGUGUCAGAAGCUGUUGGCAUCGCCAGGGCUGCCAAGGGGAGGAGGGGCAGGAGAGUUGGGUGGGGGUGUGAGGGUCCUCCUCCCCAGAGAUCCCCAUAGCCUGGGAGUGAGAGGUGGACACUGUACCCCUGGUCAGUAGGGGAGCAGGGGUCCGCAGGACACUAGGAAAGCUGGUUCACGCAUGUCUCCCAGGAGGUGUUCAGGGAGCAUUUGUUAAGAUGGGGAUCGCUGCAAGGUGGAGGGUCCCAGGGACCCCCUUCUGGUUCCAGGCGUGUCCUUCCUGCUCACUAUAUCAUGUCAACUCCAUCAACCUUUAGCCAGGUCCACGCUCGCCAACCAGCAGUCCAGUUUCCCAACUCAGCACAGGGGGAAACGGAUGCCUAGUAGAGAGGACAAAAAUGAGCUCAACGUCACAUCAAGUCAGCAGUAUUGUUGGGACUGGACUCCGAAGUCUGACUCUUGGUUCAAUGCUCUUUCCCCUAUAGCAGGUGGUUAUGCAAAGUAAUGUAAAUUAUAUGCAAAUGUCUGUGGCUUCCUACCUACGCCUAGCAGAGGGGGUUUUGUGCCCUACUGGGGCUGGCGGGAGUCUUCUCCCGUCACAAGACUAUCAGUUCUGAAAGGGCUCGUGGUAAUUGUUUUACCCACUAUCUGACUCAGGGCCUGGGCCCCAACCUUCUGUGGUGAUCAGGAGGAGCACAAAUGGCUCUGGGACCAUGGGUACCUGGCGUCCUGCUGUCGUGGGGGGCAUAGGGCUGACAAUGCCAGGAAAUGGCCAGAGGAAGCCUCUGGAUAGGCCCCUAGAGUCCACACGACAGUGUGGGCCUGGCUUGGGGAGGUUUUCUCACGAGUCCUGGGAAGUCGGCUUACUGUCUCCAGGCCCCCUGGGUCCCCAUCAAUAAGCUGGCCUGAAUGGAGAGGCUGGGUUGGGGGGAGGGAGAUUUAUUUCCUGGCUUUAAAACCAGCCAUUCUCCCGCCUCCCACCUUCCUCCUGGCUGGAGAACAAUGGGACAUCCCCAGAGAGGCCUUCCUGUGGCAACAGGUGCACUGAGCAGGGUGGAUGACCACCACCCAGGCCCCCAUAGGUUCCAGCUGUGCACGUGGUGAGCCUCCACCAUUGGUCCUGCUUCCAGAACAGCAGCCUGGCGCCCUUAGAAACAACACCAGGCACUGACCCUUUCUCCACUAUUUCUGGGUCCAGGAAGUGGCUUGUUUGUUUGUUUCUACAGUCCAGAUAAUGUUGCCAUAUUUCCCCAAAUGGUGGGAACUAAGUUCUGAAAAAUAAUCACCCUUAAUCCCACCCAGACACAACUACUACUUGCAUAUUCGUGUGUUUCCUUUCAGGCUCAUGCCCAGGUUUGUUUUAUGAUGUCAUCACAUACUUACAGGUUUCAUUUCAUGCUCAGGCCUCUACACUUAACAUUAUUCCAUGAAUCUUUCUCGUAUAAUUACAUAGACUUCAUAAUUAGCCAUUAAUACCCGAGAAGAACCCACAGUGGGGAUAUACUUUAAUUUACUCAAGCAGUUCUCCCUUUGUUGGGUAUCUUACUCUGGUAAAUAACACUGCGUUGAACAUCUCCAUGCUCACAGCUUGGUUGGGUUCCUUGGGAGAGAUUCCCAAAAGUAGAAUUCUAGGUAAAAAGACACGCCCUCAUUCAUACACGCUGCUAGAUUGCUUUGUGGAUUUGAUGCAAGUGUCGUCACCAAGUUGUCAUUCUCCGAAGUCCCAGCAGUUGUUCAUGGGCCCACAGGGUGGUAAGAAGUAUUUCCUAGACAGCCCAGACUUCCAAAUGUCACCGGCUGUCACUGAUUAUGGGGGGAGGGAAUGUGAAUUGACACAAAAGGAGCUUGGGGCUCUCACUUCCAGGGUCCCUAACUUAGAAACACCCCCGGGCUUUAGGGACAGGCUUUACUAAGAGGCCACUCCUUGUUCGUAAUUAGCGCCAUCCAUCCCCAGUCAGAUCUGGAAUGAGCGGAAGCCCUUUAAAGUAAUUUGCUCUUUUAAUAUCACCCCUGUGAUCUCAUUUAAUUUUCUCAACCAAACUUCAUUCACAGAGGAAGCCAAAAGCACUCCACCAGCCCGGACUGAAUUCUCACCCUUUCCAAACAGUGGCUCUGGACUUCUGCAAGCUCUGCUGAGAUUUGUCUGGCCUCCAGCAGCUUGCAUCCGAAGCCAAAGGGCUGUCUCUGUCCAACAACAAAAGGCAAGAGCAUAGUGUAAAAGCUGUGGCUUUAAACAUAGGCAAGCAGCUGCCACUGCCUGCUCUGAGCCCCCACGGUGGGGAGGAAAUCGACUAUGUAUUGAGUCAUACGCCCUGGCAGGCUCCGUGCUGGACAUUUGUUCGGUUGGGCGGGGGCAUGUUCUCAGUGAUCCUUCUGUGAACCCUGUGAGAUUGGUAUGAGCACCCAUUUUACAGAUAAGGAAACUUAUCUGUAAGCUCUGAGUUGCAAUGACUUGUCAAGGUCCCUACCAUAGCCCCUUCUUUGGAAGAUCUCCAGGUGACAUUGCACAUGGAGCUGUGGCACUGCUGUCACAAUGUCAUACCCCAGAGGUGAACAGGUGAGUGGACGAGUACCCGCCACACCCCUAUGCUGCUGCCACUCACACAGCCACUCCCAGCCCUGGCCCCAGCUCCUCCAGGAAGGGAGCCUCCCUCCGCUGAGCCAGCAGAGCUCUCAGGCCAUUGGCAGCUGGGCUCAGGAGAGCCAUGGUGAUUUAUGGCUGCCGCGUCUCCCCAGUGCCCUGCCUGGGCCCAGUGUACUUAUGGACUAAUGGAAGCUCGAAUGGAGGGAGAUAAUUCUGCCAGGAGCUGGCUCCAGUGACAGGGGCAACCACCAUUGCCUCAGGGCAAGGAUAGGUUCGGGAACAGAGGGGACUUGGGCAGAGGCCAGAGGCAGAGGCGCUGAAGGCUCUGAGAGCAGAUGGAGCCCAGGUGGGGACUCGGGCGUGCAGAGGGUGGCACUUCCUGGCAGCCCAGUCCCCAGACUGGCUUCUCCAGGGCCCCCAGAAGGGAGCCAAGAGGUGGGCCAGGAGCCCAAGGCCCCAGAGGCCUAGCAGCACACCUGCCCGUGCAUUUGGUGUGUGGGUUUUGAUAUUCUUAGAACAUCCAAGCUUCUCACCUAACCCCCUCAAUGAUAGAUGGGGAAGCAGGGGCCCAGAAAGGGUCAGGGACUUGUCCAGGGUCACACAGCAUGUUAGUUACUGAGCUGAGACAAGAACCCUGGGAUGUCACAAGAACACGGCAGCCGGUGUGGAGUGGAGAGGAAGACCUUGGGCAGGGUGGGCAGGAGGGUGAGCACAGAGCAGGGAAGGUGCAGGAAGACGACAGUCAUGGUCAGGGAUUAAAGAGGAUGCUAAGGAGGAGGCUGGGACAGCCCCAACAGCGGGGCCCAGAGGAAGGGGUGCAGCAGCUGGCAUCGACCCUCCUGGUAAGGGAGGGUUAAGGGGGACCUGGAAACCCACAGCCCCACUGGGUUCCCUCUGUGAGCCAGCAGGUGCUUCCUGGGGCUCUGCUGGGCCCUGAGGGGUGAGCACCCCCGGAUCCCACCUAGCUCCUUUCCACUGAUGUCCUCCAGCCAGCAUGGCCCACCACUCAGCUCUCCUGAGCCUCUCUCUGUGUCUUCUUAAAUGGGACCGUUAUGCCUACCUCAAAGGGUAAGUGGGAGGUAAGUGAAUAGGGAAGUUCAGGUUGAGAGAAAGCCGAAGGGAAGAAGAGACGCCCACCUCAGUUCAGAUGUCUCAGGACCCCUGGCACCUCUCUUGCCCCCUUCCCCCUCCAGGCCCACCCAGGCGAGUCACAUAGGUUGCUAGUGCCUCAGUGUAUCCCAUCUGUGAAAUGGGCUCCCCUCCCAGCCCCUGGCAAGAAGGCAUAUCCCUGACUGGGUGGUGAGCUUCCUCCUGCAUGCCAAGCCCACACAGCAUCUUCGAGGAGCGCCUCGGUGGUGAGCUGCACCAGCCUGGACUGAAUUCUCACCGUGGAGAGAUGUACAUGCCAGGUGCUCCUUGGAGGUGCUGUGUGGGUUUGGAAGAUGUUUUCCAUGGCUUGGGGCCCAGCAGCCCUCUGGGGCCUGACAAGGAGUGAGGAAACAACCGCGCCUGUUGUAGGGCAAAGAGGAACCUCUGUCCCCUCCCUGGAAUCACUGCAGGCUGUGGCCAGGUGUGCAGGGAACUCUUUCAGGUCAUCUGGCUCAGUGGCUUCCACAAACACCUAGAAUCCGUGCUGUGCAUAGGCACCUGCCUGUGCUAAAGCCGUUUGAUAUAUGUGAGCUCCUGGAGGUAGGCAAUGUUCUGAUACCCUCUUUAGAGGUGGGGAAACAGAGGCCAGAGGCUUGAAGUGCCAUGCCCAAGAAACACGUGCUUUCACUGGGAACUGUUUUUGAGAGUUCACCUGAUGCCAGGUGCACAGGAGCUAAGGCAUUACUUAUCCUCUAGGCUAGGGACUGUUAGCCCAUUUUACAGGCGGAGAAACCAAGGCCAGGGAGACAAAAUCACCUGCCUGAAGGCCCCACAGCUAUCGAUGCCGAGACUCUAUCCUGCGGAUGUUGGGCUCUUUCCACUGAGUAAGGUUCCCUCACUCUCUAGUGCCACAUGGGGUGCCCUCAGUCUGGGCCAGGGCAGGGCAGAUGCAGGGCCCCCCACUCCCCUCCUAGGAUACAGGAAUCUGUAUUGCCUCAGGCUUGUCUCUGCCCACCUGCUGGCCAAGUCCAGGACAGAAAGAGAGGGCUCACAAAUUGGGAGACUCUGGGCUGAAGACCUGGUGGUCUCAGCCAUUUUUGUUUCUUGAGGGUCCCAAGACCACCCAUUCCUCCUCCAAGCCCAGCCCUGUAGCUCCUCCAGGAAGCCUGGCCCCUUCCUGAGCUGUGUGGCCAGCUCUCUAUGCUUCUUCUGGAACCUCCACUCCAGAGCACCUGAGAGCAGCAGGACAAGCCGUGGUCUUGGGCAGCGUCCUUUCAGAGGAGGAAGGUCCAGAGAGGGGAAGGGACUUGUCCAAGGUCACACAGCUAGCGACAUCCCAAGCAGCCCUGCUGGAGCUCUUCAGAGAAAGGACAGGAGGAGCCAAGGGUGAGCUUGGCCAAGCUGGCACCCACUUGCCUCCAGAGUCACCAAGGUCCCCACCCUGCCCCAACAUUGCCUUUUCCCGAGGAGUUGAUUCCCAACCCAGCAGAGGAGCUGCCAGAUGGGUAAAGACCCUCCUGCUGAAGAACUGAGCAUCCCAAUCCCCUCUUGUCCUCCCCGCCCAGUGGCCAGCCAGGUACUGCCCUGUCCAGGAGGCAGCUGACAGGCAACAGGGAAGAGCUGAGCCUCAGGGCAGGCAGCCCGUGUGAGGCCACGUGAGCCCAAUGUCACCAGGGUCCCAUCGGGUGAACUGGGAUAGAAUGGCCCAGCCUUUCCUCAUGGGCAGGGUGGAGGGAGGUGAAGUAUGGCCAUUCAUUAGAAAAGUAAUGACUGGGCCGGGUGCAGUGGCUCACACCUAUAAUCCCAGCACUUUGGGAGGCCAAUGCAAUAGGAUUGCCUGAGGUCAGGAGUUCAAGACCAGCCUGGCCAACAUGGCAAAACCCUUCUCUACUGAAAAUACAAAAACUAGCCAGGUGUGGUGGUGUGUGCCUGUAAUUCCAGCUACUCAGGAGGCUGAGGCAGGAGAAUCAUUUGAACCCGGGAGGCAGAGGUUGUAGUGAGCCGAUAUGCCACUGCCCUAUAGCCUGGGUGAUAUAGCGAGACUCCAUCUCAAAAAAAAAAAAAAAAGGAAAAGA